This is a long non-coding RNA of Rhagoletis zephyria (snowberry fruit fly), 117 nucleotides long. RefSeq lists it as uncharacterized. NCBI's taxonomy places the organism in Eukaryota, Metazoa, Arthropoda, Insecta, Diptera, Tephritidae. The record is from RefSeq and is a predicted model, not a curated record.
UUUGCAUCCCUUUUUCUAUAGUUCCAAACCAGUUCCUAAUUCGACAGAUGAGAUCUAGUUCGAUCUGCAUCCGUUUUUAUAGUUCCCAACAGUAAAUAUAAAUUCGUCACUUUAGAU